This 206-nucleotide ribosomal RNA is filed under the name uncultured bacterium. RNAcentral describes it as "partial 16S ribosomal RNA". It matches the Rfam family "Bacterial small subunit ribosomal RNA", at positions 568 to 774 of the family's 1533-position model. The record is from RNAcentral.
UGCGUAGGCGGUUUAUUAAGUCAGAUGUGAAAGCCCGGGCUUAACCUGGGAACUGCAUUUGAUACUGGUAGACUAGAGUAUGGUAGAGGGGGGUAGAAUUCCUAGUGUAGCGGUGAAAUGCGUAGAUAUUAGGAGGAAUACCAGUGGCGAAGGCGGCCCCCUGGACCAAUACUGACGCUGAGGUACGAAAGCGUGGGUAGCGAACA